RNAcentral lists this unclassified non-coding RNA (283 nucleotides) under uncultured fungus. Its description in RNAcentral is "sequence contains ITS2". The stretch from base 1 to 52 matches the Rfam family "5.8S ribosomal RNA", at positions 103 to 154 of the family's 154-position model. The record is from RNAcentral. Lineage: Eukaryota; Fungi.
AACGCAACUUGCGCCCCUUGGCAUUCCGAGGGGCACGCCUGUUUGAGUGUCGUGAAUUCCUCCACCCUUUCACUUUGUUGUGACCGGGAUGGGAUUUGGGGGCUUUGCGGGAUCUUUCUAAGAGUCCGCUCCCCUUGAAUGCAUUAGCGAAAGGACCCUCGUGGCCUCGGUGUGAUAAUUAUCUACGCCGACCGGACAUGGAUAGACUUUUGCUUCGAACCGUCUUCGGACAACACAUCUGAAACUUGACCUCAAAUCAGGCGGGACUACCCGCUGAACUUAA